CUACGAGUUUGAUCCUGGCUCAGAUUGAACGCUGGCGGCAGGCUUAACACAUGCAAGUCGAGCGGAGACUUCGGUCUUAGCGGCGAACGGGUGAGUAAUACCUAGGAAUCUGCCUAUUAGUGGGGGAUAACGAAUCGAAAGGUUCGCUAAUACCGCAUACGUCCUACGGGAGAAAGGGGGGGAUCUUCGGACCUCUCGCUAAUAGAUGAGCCUAGGCCGGAUUAGCUAGUUGGUAGGGUAAAGGCCUACCAAGGCGACGAUCUGUAGCUGGUCUGAGAGGAUGGCCAGCCACACUGGAACUGAGACACGGUCCAGACUCCUACGGGAGGCAGCAGUGGGGAAUAUUGGACAAUGGGGGCAACCCUGAUCCAGCCAUGCCGCGUGCGGGACGAAGGCCUUCGGGUUGUAAACCGCUUUCAGCCGGAAAGAAAUCGCCAAGGCUAAUAUCCUUGGUGGAUGACGGUACCGGAAGAAGAAGCACCGGCUAACUACGUG
RNAcentral lists this ribosomal RNA (495 nucleotides) under uncultured bacterium. Its description in RNAcentral is "bacterial SSU rRNA". It matches the Rfam family "Bacterial small subunit ribosomal RNA", at positions 1 to 507 of the family's 1533-position model. The record is from RNAcentral.